GAUGAACGCUGGCGGCGUGCCUAAUACAUGCAAGUCGAGCGAACAGAUGAGGAGCUUGCUCCUCUGACGUUAGCGGCGGACGGGUGAGUAACACGUGGAUAACCUCCCUAUAAUACUGGGAUAACUUCGGGAAACCGGAGCUAAUACCGGAUAAUCUAUUUAACCGCAUGGUUCAAUAGUGAAAGAUGGUUUUGCUGUCACUUAUAGAUGGAUCCGCGCCUCAUUAGCUAGUUGUUAAGGUAACGGCUUACCAAGGGAACGAUGCGUUGCCGACCGGAGAGAGUGAGCGCCGACACUGGAACAGAGACACGCGCCAUACUACUACGGUAGGCAGCAGUAGGGAAUCUUCGGCAAUAGGGGAAAGCAUGACGGAGCAACGCCGCGUGAGUGAUGAAGGUCUUCGGAGCGUAAAACCCUGUUUUUAGGGAAGAACAAAUGUGUGAGUAACUAUGCACGUCUUGACGGUACCUAAUCAGAAAGCCCCGGCUAACUACGUG
Molecule: ribosomal RNA, 497 nt
Filed under: uncultured bacterium
Lineage: Bacteria
Description: partial 16S ribosomal RNA
Rfam family: Bacterial small subunit ribosomal RNA
Source: RNAcentral